Gallus gallus (chicken) is the source of this 690-nucleotide long non-coding RNA. Lineage: Eukaryota; Metazoa; Chordata; Aves; Galliformes; Phasianidae. The record is from Ensembl.
GUCGUUCCUGUUGAGAUGUCCUGAUGCAGUAAGAUGUACAAGUGCAUCAUCUCCAGAAUCAAUAGCCUGAUGGACGAGGAGAGGAAGAAAAGCAAAGCCACCACCCAGCUCUUCAACCUCCUGCCUUGCGCUGUCAAUCCGGGAGAAGAAUCCCUUGGCCUGGUAUAGAAAUUUGUGCUAGGAAGAGAUGAAUUUCACUGUUAUUCCUCUGACAGUAGUGAUGAUGGCCUACGCCUAUUCAAUGAGCCUGUUCUCCUCCUGGAACUUCUCCACACUUCAAGUGUCUGAACUUUGCUGCCAACUGAUUUCCUUAAGAAAGCUCAUGCCUGCCUCCUGUCUUUCCUCAAAGGAGAAUUUACUACCAAGUCAUUGAGAACACAGGUAUCAACUCUGUUGCAAAAGUAGUUGAGCUAGAAAGCUGAUGGCAUGAACACACUCCAGCAUCUGUAGUUAUUAGCAAAGUAAGGAGCUCCAUAGCUACCAGUCAUGUCAGACAACACUAUUUCCUUUGCUUGAAUGGCCAGGUCUUCAGAUAUGUCUGGGUCAGCUGAGGACAAUGUUUUGACAGGUUGCUGAAAAAGAUUUGAUCUUGCCAUAUAGUCAAUCAUGACCCACUCAGUGGGAGAAAUUUUAUAAUUUGUUAAGCACAUAAGUGCAUUCACAGCAAAGUCUUUCCAUUAAUAAUCAGAC